This 497-nucleotide ribosomal RNA is filed under the name uncultured bacterium. RNAcentral's name for it is "partial 16S ribosomal RNA". It matches the Rfam family "Bacterial small subunit ribosomal RNA", at positions 28 to 507 of the family's 1533-position model. The record is from RNAcentral.
GAUGAACGCUGGCGGCGUGCCUAAUACACGCAAGUCGAGCGAACGGACGAGAAGCUUGCUUUUCUGAUGUUAGCGGCGGACGGGUGAGUAACACGUGGAUAACCUACCUAUAAGACUGGGAUAACUUCGGGAAACCGGAGCUAAUACCGGAUAAUAUUUUGAACCGCAUGGUUCAAAAGUGAAAGACGGUCUUGCUGUCACUUAUAGAUGGAUCCGCGCUGCAUUAGCUAGUUGGUAAGGUAACGGCUUACCAAGGCAACGAUGCAUAGCCGACCUGAGAGGGUGAUCGGCCACACUGGAACUGGGAAACGGUCCAGACUCCUACGGGAGGCAGCAGUAGGGAAUCUUCCGCAAAGGGCGAAAGCCUGACGGAGCAACGCCGCGUGAGUGAUGAAGGUCUUCGGAUCGUAAAACUCUGUUAUUAGGGAAGAACAUAUGUGUAAGUAACUGUGCACAUCUUGACGGUACCUAAUCAGAAGGCCACGGCUAACUACGUG